AUGAAUUGCCUAGUGUGGAACUGUCGGGGGGCGGGGAACCCUCGUACAGUUCGUGAUUUACAGGCUCUUUGUAGAGCCAAUUCCCCGAGGAUGGUGUUUCUGUGUGAGACUAGGAAUCAGCUGCAAAAGAUGAAAAGGUUGCGAAGUAGGCUUGGGCUUCGUGGUUUUGAGGGCAUAAGUAGUCAAGGAAAGAGUGGUGGCCUAGCUUUGUUUUGGGAUGAGUCCAUGUAUGUCAGCAUUCAGGACGUUAAUGAGAGGUGGAUUGAUGUUUUUGUCAGGGUGGCUCCCUCGGAACCUCUUUGGCGAGUGACCUUUGUGUAUGGAGAACCGAGGGUGGAAAACAGACAUCUUAUGUGGGAGAGCUUGUGUAGACUAAGGAAUACUUCUGAGUUGCCUUGGUUAGUUACCGGUGAUUUCAAUGAGGCGCUAUGGGACUGUGAACAUAUGUCCAUGACGGCGAGGCCGCAAGCCCAGAUUAUAGCCUUUCGGGACUGUCUUGAGGUGUGUCAGUUGGUGGACCUAGGCUUCUCAGGCUAUCCGUUCACAUACGAUAACAAACGGAGCGGUCGGGCUAACGUGCAGGUGCGUCUGGAUAGAGCGGCAGUGGACAAUGCCUGGCGAGAUAUGUUCCCGGAGGCGACGGUGCUCCACCUGACGUCGCCCCGAUCAGACCAUCGACCGCUUCUCCUGCGGUGCGCACAAGAUACACAGGUGAAGAUGGCAAAGGCGAGGCGCUAUGAGGUUAUGUGGGAGCGUGAGGCCUCCCUGGCAGAAGUGGUAGAGGCGGCUUGGGCUGCUUCGGGCGUGAAAAAUGACUUGGGAGGCGUGAGCAAAGCCCUCAAAGCAACAAUGUUGAGACUACAUGAGUGGAGCAAUACGAAAAUUGGCAAUGUGACAAGAGAGAUUGAGAAGUCCAGGACGAGGCUAGAGGAACUGCACAAUAUGAAUGCCGACCGUAGUGAGAUACGGAAAGAGUCUGAUCAUAUGGAUGAACUCUUGUACAAGGAGGAGAUGAUGUGGCUGCAACGAUCUAGAAUGGAGUGGCUGAAACAUGGAGAUCGGAACACAAAGUUCUUCCAUAGGAAAGCAAGAUGGAGAGCCCGGAAAAACAAGAUCAAGGGAUUGCGGGAUGACUUGGGAGUCCUUCAACCGGAGCAGGCUGUAAUGUCAGGUAUGGCCAUGAGUUACUUUCAGAAUCUGAUUGAAGCUGAUCCUAGUUUACUCCCUCAUACAGUGGUAAACCUUUUUGAUCCGGUCAUUACAGAGGAGAUGAAUGCCAAACUGUGUGAAGCCUUUUCGGACAAGGAGAUUAGUGAUGCACUAUUUCAGAUUGGGCCUCUAAAGGCACCUGGGCCGGACGGUUUCCCGGCGAGGUUUUUUCAGCGUCAUUGGGGCACAGUGAAAGAUGACAUUAUUGCCGCAGUCAAACAAUUUUUCUUAUCGGGGGUAAUGCCGGAGGGGGUAAACAACACCACCAUCGUGCUCAUCCCAAAGGUUGACGACCCCCAACGUUUAUCCGAGUUUCGGCCCAUUAGCUUGUGUAACGUGAUUUACAAGAUCAUCUCCAAGUGUUUGGUGAACCGGUUGCGACCACUACUUGGCGAUAUCAUCUCUGAGGAACAGAGCGCUUUCGUCCCUGGAAGACUCAUUACGGAUAAUGCGUUCAUUGCCUUUGAGUGCACUCACUAUAUUAAACCGGAGAAGGACCCUGAUAAAGCUUACUGUGCUUACAAGCUAGAUCUGUCCAAGGCGUAUGAUCGUGUAGAUUGGACUUUCCUUGAGCAAAUGAUGAGAAGACUGGGCUUCGCGGAUCGGUGGGUGAGAUGGACAAUGACUUGUGUCACCUCAGUCCGUUAUUGUUGCAUUGUUAAUGGAGCCCUAUCAGAUUCAUUUGCACCGUCGUGUGGGAUGCGGAAAGGAGAUCCCCUCUCCCCGUUCUUGUUCCUUUUCGUGGCAGAAGGGUUAGCGGCAAUCUUGAAGCAACGGGUCAAUUCUCAGCAGCUGACACCAUUACGGGUUUGUCCACGUGCACCUGGCAUCUCACAUCUCAUGUUUGCAGACGAUACCUUGCUGUUUUUCAGAGCAACCGAGCAGGAAGCUUCUCAUGUCAAAUGCGCACUUGCCACCUUUGCUCAAGCCACGGGUCAGCUUAUCAACCCGCAAAAAUGCUCCAUUCUCUUUGGUGAGCACUGCCGGCGAACAGACCAGGAUGCAGUGGUAUUAUCACUGGAACUGCAGCAGCAUAGCUUCGAGGAAUGCUACUUGGGUUUACCCACGCCAAACGGGCGCAUGUCCAAGGGCAUGUUCCAAAACCUCCAGCAGAAAUAUAUGAAGCGUAUGAUGGAAUUGGAUGGCAAUCAACUUGCGCAAAGCGGAAGAGAGGUCCUCAUUAAAUCCAUUGCACAGUCUAUUCCAACCUACAUCAUGAGCGUUUUUAAGCUACCGGCGGCCACUUGUGAAGAUCUUAUGCGGAUGAUCCGUAAUUUCUUUUGGGGAGUAGAAAAGGGGAAGAGAAAGAUGCACCGGCGGGCAUGGAUUCAUCUAAUCAAGCCCAAGGCACAAGGUGGACUGGGCUUUCGAGACCUACGACUUUUUAACCAGGCACUUCUAGCACGCCAAGCUUGGAGGCUACUUACAAACCCUGUUAGCUUGUGUGCCCGGUUACUGAAAGCACGCUACUACCCGUUUGGUAACUUGGAGGAUACUGUUUUCUCGACAGCGGCCUCAGUUACUUGGCAAGCAAUUCAGCAAGGGCUUGAGCUCCUGAAGAAGGGAUUGAUCUGGCGCAUAGGCGAUGGACGAGCGAUCAGGAUAUGGCGCGAUAGCUGGAUCCCCAGGAAUGGGAGUGGGAGGCCUGCUACCCCCCAAGGAAGAUGCCGGGUGCGGCGUGUAUGUGACUUGCUGGAUGACCAUGGAGCAUGGAAUAUGGACUUGGUUCGGAACAUUUUUUUGCCGGUCGACGCGGAGGUGAUUGCAACAAUUAAAAUCUUUCCUGGGUUGGGUCCAAACAUGCUUGCAUGGGAGACGGAACGCAGCGGGAACUUCACCGUGAGGAGUGCUUAUCGACUUGCUCUUGAGGAUCAUCUUCGGUUCUCUUCAGUCGUGGCGAGCAGGGCACCGGACGGGCGACGAGCCGUCUGGGCUUUUAUUUGGAGGUGCCCUGCUCCUCCUAAGGUUCGAAUCUUCACCUGGCGGUUGCUUACAGAUUGUCUACCCACUUGGGUGAAUAAACGCCGCCGGGGCCUGGAGGUUUCUGACAAAUGCCCUCUUUGUGCCUUGGAGCCGGAGGACACGUACCAUGUUUUUUGCAGAUGCCCAAUGGCGGUCGCACUCUGGCAGGCCAUGGCGGACCAAUGGAGAAUACCUGCUGUUACAUCCUUCCGUCGGACGGGAACGAAAUGGCUUGCCCAAGCCCUAUGUAAGCUGCCGGACACGGAGAGGAUGGAGCUCAUGAUGACAUUAUGGCGCUGCUGGUAUGUUCGAAAUGAGAUGGUGCACCACAAGAAGCCACCACCAAUCGAAGCAUCCAAAAACUUCCUCAUCAGCUACGUUGAUUCAUUGGUGGGCAUCCAGAACGCUCCUCAUGCGGAUCCAAUCAAAGGGAAGCAGGUGGUGGACGCUGUCAGCCAGUCCCGGCCCAUGCAGCACGAGACUCCUGCUCCAACCACGGUGCUGCGCUGGUCUCGACCGGUGACGGGGUGGGCGAAGCUCAACAUCGACGGCUUCUACAAUGCCACCAGCGGAGAGGCUGGUACAGGCAUGGUCCUCCGGAGCGACAUGGGCGACAUCAUUUUUUGUUCAUGCAGAGAACUCCGGACGUGUUUGGAUCCUUUGGAAGCCGAACUGCAGGCCUGCAUGGAGGGGCUCAACUUGGCACUUCAAUGGACCCCUUUGCCUAUUGAGAUGCGGUACAUGCGAUACUAG
RNAcentral lists this ribosomal RNA (3924 nucleotides) under Triticum aestivum (bread wheat). RNAcentral describes it as "partial small subunit ribosomal RNA". The record is from RNAcentral. Lineage: Eukaryota; Viridiplantae; Streptophyta; Magnoliopsida; Poales; Poaceae.